GCAGUAGAACGCUGAAGAGAGGAGCUUGCUCUUCUUGGAUGAGUUGCGAACGGGUGAGUAACGCGUAGGUAACCUGCCUUGUAGCGGGGGAUAACUAUUGGAAACGAUAGCUAAUACCGCAUAACAAUGGAUGACACAUGUCAUUUAUUUGAAAGGGGCAAUUGCUCCACUACAAGAUGGACCUGCGUUGUAUUAGCUAGUAGGUGAGGUAACGGCUCACCUAGGCGACGAUACAUAGCCGACCUGAGAGGGUGAUCGGCCACACUGGGACUGAGACACGGCCCAGACUCCUACGGGAGGCAGCAGUAGGGAAUCUUCGGCAAUGGGGGCAACCCUGACCGAGCAACGCCGCGUGAGUGAAGAAGGUUUUCGGAUCGUAAAGCUCUGUUGUAAGUCAAGAACGAGUGUGAGAGUGGAAAGUUCACACUGUGACGGUAGCUUACCAGAAAGGGACGGCUAACUACGUGCCAGCAGCCGCGGUAAUACGUAGGUCCCGAGCGUUGUCCGGAUUUAUUGGGCGUAAAGCGAGCGCAGGCGGUUUGAUAAGUCUGAAGUUAAAGGCUGUGGCUCAACCAUAGUUCGCUUUGGAAACUGUCAAACUUGAGUGCAGAAGGGGAGAGUGGAAUUCCAUGUGUAGCGGUGAAAUGCGUAGAUAUAUGGAGGAACACCGGUGGCGAAAGCGGCUCUCUGGUCUGUAACUGACGCUGAGGCUCGAAAGCGUGGGGAGCGAACAGGAUUAGAUACCCUGGUAGUCCACGCCGUAAACGAUGAGUGCUAGGUGUUGGAUCCUUUCCGGGAUUCAGUGCCGCAGCUAACGCAUUAAGCACUCCGCCUGGGGAGUACGACCGCAAGGUUGAAACUCAAAGGAAUUGACGGGGGCCCGCACAAGCGGUGGAGCAUGUGGUUUAAUUCGAAGCAACGCGAAGAACCUUACCAGGUCUUGACAUCCCGAUGCUAUUUCUAGAGAUAGAAAGUUACUUCGGUACAUCGGUGACAGGUGGUGCAUGGUUGUCGUCAGCUCGUGUCGUGAGAUGUUGGGUUAAGUCCCGCAACGAGCGCAACCCCUAUUGUUAGUUGCCAUCAUUCAGUUGGGCACUCUAGCGAGACUGCCGGUAAUAAACCGGAGGAAGGUGGGGAUGACGUCAAAUCAUCAUGCCCCUUAUGACCUGGGCUACACACGUGCUACAAUGGUUGGUACAACGAGUUGCGAGUCGGUGACGGCAAGCUAAUCUCUUAAAGCCAAUCUCAGUUCGGAUUGUAGGCUGCAACUCGCCUACAUGAAGUCGGAAUCGCUAGUAAUCGCGGAUCAGCACGCCGCGGUGAAUACGUUCCCGGGCCUUGUACACACCGCCCGUCACACCACGAGAGUUUGUAACACCCGAAGUCGGUGAGGUAACCUUUGGAGCCAGCCGCCUAAGGUGG
Molecule: ribosomal RNA, 1422 nt
Filed under: Streptococcus salivarius
Lineage: Bacteria; Bacillati; Bacillota; Bacilli; Lactobacillales; Streptococcaceae
Description: bacterial SSU rRNA
Rfam family: Bacterial small subunit ribosomal RNA
Source: RNAcentral